GUGCUUCCUUUGGCAGCACAUAUACUAAAACUGAAACGAUACAGAGAUUAGCAUGGCCCCUGCACAAGGAUGACACGCAAAUUCAUGAAGUAUUUCCUACAAAA
Molecule: small nuclear RNA, 104 nt
Organism: Cebus imitator (Panamanian white-faced capuchin)
Lineage: Eukaryota; Metazoa; Chordata; Mammalia; Primates; Cebidae
Source: Ensembl